CAGUAGCCACGGUAAUACGGAGGAUCCAAGCGUUAUCCGGAAUCAUUGGGUUUAAAGGGUCCGUAGGCGGUCUUGUAAGUCAGUGGUGAAAGCCCAUCGCUCAACGGUGGAACGGCCAUUGAUACUGCAGGACUUGAAUUAUUGGGAAGUAACUAGAAUAUGUAGUGUAGCGGUGAAAUGCUUAGAGAUUACAUGGAAUACCAAUUGCGAAGGCAGGUUACUACCAAUUGAUUGACGCUGAUGGACGAAAGCGUGGGUAGCGAACAGGAUUAGAUACCCCAGUAGUCCCUGUCUCUUAUAU
RNAcentral lists this ribosomal RNA (301 nucleotides) under uncultured bacterium. RNAcentral describes it as "partial 16S ribosomal RNA". It matches the Rfam family "Bacterial small subunit ribosomal RNA", at positions 509 to 809 of the family's 1533-position model. The record is from RNAcentral.